Molecule: RNA transcript, 4774 nt
Organism: Ananas comosus (pineapple)
Lineage: Eukaryota; Viridiplantae; Streptophyta; Magnoliopsida; Poales; Bromeliaceae
Gene name: pre-mRNA-splicing factor ATP-dependent RNA helicase DEAH1-like
Source: RefSeq, a predicted model, not a curated record
UCAGAAGAAGCCAGGAUUGAAGAUCAAGAAGAGAGAGCUCAAUUGGAGAGGAACAUGAGAGAAAGAGAUGCAGCUGCAACUCGGAAGUUGACAGAACCAAAGUUAACGAAGGCGCAGGAAGAGGAGAUUAUUCGAAGAACUCAAGCAUCAGAGAAAAAUGAUACUUCAGAACUGAGAAAAGUUUCAAGGCAAGUUUAUUUGCAAAAGCGGAGAGACCAGAAGCUUUUGGAGAUUCGGGAUGACAUUAUAGAUCAUGAGUAUAUAUUUGAGGGCGUGAAGCUGACUGAAGCAGAGGAACGUGAGCAUAGGUACAAAAGAAAAAUCUACGAGCUUGCAAAAGAGCACUUGGGGGAUGUGGACAAUAUUAAUGAGUACAAAAUGCCUGAGGCAUACGACAUGGAGGGACGGGUCAAUCAAGAGAAAAGAUUUGCUGCAGCUAUGCAGCGUUACAGGGACCCUGAGGCUGCAGAGAAAAUGAAUCCAUUUGCCGAACAAGAAGCCUGGGAGGAACACCAAAUAGGAAAGGCAACCAUAAAAUUUGGCUCAAAAGAUAGAAAGCAAGCUGCUGAUGACUAUCAGUAUGUUUUUGAGGAUGGGGUUGAGUUCAUCAAAGCAUCUGUCAUGGAUGGAACUCAGUUUGAAGAUGAAUUAUCUUCCGGGAAUGAUGACUCUUCAGAUGCAAAAACCAUGUUGGAGAUGCUGCAGGAAGAUAGGAAAAGUCUGCCUAUCUAUCCUUACAGAGAGGAGUUACUUAAGGCCAUCCAAGAUCAUCAGGUUCUUGUUAUUGUUGGAGAGACAGGCUCUGGAAAGACUACUCAGAUACCUCAAUAUCUUCAUGAAGCUGGGUAUACAAAAGCUGGGAAGAUUGCAUGCACACAGCCUCGCCGUGUUGCUGCAAUGAGCGUGGCCGCGAGGGUGUCCCAGGAGAUGGGUGUUAAACUUGGGCAUGAGGUUGGUUACUCAAUUAGGUUUGAGGAUUGCACCUCAGAAAAGACUGUACUUAAGUACAUGACAGAUGGUAUGUUGUUGAGGGAAUUCCUUGGUGAACCAGAUUUGGCUAGCUACAAUGUUGUGAUGGUGGAUGAGGCUCAUGAGCGAACACUAUCAACUGACAUAUUAUUCGGGUUGGUGAAGGAUAUUGCUCGUUUUCGAAAAGAUCUCAAGUUGCUUAUUUCGAGUGCGACCCUGGAUGCGGAGAAAUUCAGUGAUUACUUUGACUCUGCCCCAAUUUUUAAAAUUCCAGGGAGGCGAUACCCUGUCGAAAUACACUUCACGACAGCACCGGAAGCAGACUACAUUGAUGCUGCGAUUGUUACAGUUCUUCAAAUACACGUGACCCAGCCACUUGGUGACAUCUUAGUGUUCCUUACAGGGCAGGAGGAAAUUGAAACAGUCGAUGAAAUCCUUAAGCACAGAAUAAAAGGUUUGGGCACAAAGAUAGCGGAACUUAUCAUCUGCCCGAUUUACGCCAACCUCCCCACUGAGCUGCAAGCAAAGAUUUUUGAACCUGCACCUGAAGGUGCCCGCAAGGUUGUUUUGGCUACUAAUAUAGCCGAAACAUCGUUAACAAUUGAUGGAAUAAAAUAUGUUGUCGACCCUGGAUUUUGUAAAAUUAAAUCAUAUAACCCUAGAACUGGGAUGGAGUCUUUGCUAGUGAAUCCAAUCUCAAAGGCAUCUGCAGAGCAAAGGGCUGGUAGGUCUGGGCGUACUGGACCUGGAAAAUGUUUUCGCCUUUAUACUAAGUAUAAUUACGAUCAUGAUCUCGAGGAGAACAGUGUUCCAGAGAUUCAACGGACGAAUUUAGCGAACGUUGUGCUCACUCUUAAAAGUUUGGGUAUUCAUGACUUGGUCAAUUUUGAUUUCAUGGAUCCUCCCCCAUCAGAGGCAUUGCUUAAGGCUCUUGAGCAACUAUUUGCUCUUAAUGCGCUGAAUAGCCGAGGCGAGUUGACUAAGACUGGGAGAAGGAUGGCUGAGUUUCCACUGGACCCCAUGCUUUCAAAAAUGAUAGUUGCUUCGGACAAGUACAAGUGUUCUGAUGAGAUCAUAUCCAUUGCGGCGAUGUUGUCGGUUGGAAAUUCGAUAUUUUAUCGUCCAAAGGACAAACAAGUUCAUGCAGACAAUGCAAGGAUGAAUUUCCACACUGGGAAUGUUGGAGAUCAUAUUGCGUUGCUUAACGUCUACAAUUCCUGGAGAGAAACUAAUUACUCGACCCAAUGGUGCUACGAAAAUUAUAUUCAGGUAAGAAGUAUGAAAAGAGCUAGAGAUAUUCGUGAUCAAUUAGAGGGACUCUUGGAAAGAGUUGAGAUUGAGCUCACUUCAAAUGCUAAUGACUUAGAUACCAUUAAAAAGGCAAUAACAUCAGGUUUUUUCCACCAUUCUGCGAAGUUGCAAAAGAAUGGUUCUUAUAGAACCGUCAAAAACCCCCAAACAGUAUAUAUACAUCCAAACUCCGGACUAGCACAGGUGCUUCCGCAUUGGGUGAUAUACCAUGAGUUGGUUCUCACAACGAAGGAGUUUAUGAGACAGGUUACGGAACUGAAGCCCGAAUGGCUUGUAGAAAUCGCGCCACACUUCUAUCAGCUUAAAGAUGUCGAUGAUUCCGGAGCGAAGAAAUUACCUCGUGGGACAGGUCGUGCUGCAUUGUAGGAGCUUUCAAGUUCUGUUCGGGCCUAUUUGCCGCCUCAAUUCUUAAGCAACUGACACAACCUUGCACUAACUGUUGUUUAUUCCUUCCCUGUCCUGGCCAGUAAAAGAAUUGAUCAUUUCUCUGAUAAUUUGGCCAUAUUCCCGAAGUGUGAAGUGCAACAACCCAUUCUCCAUAAGACUCCUUCAGCUUGGCUUGUUCGUAGGCCAAUGAUAAGGUACAAGGGUGAGGCAUUACAAGCAUGACUUCUAGUUCCUUAUAUCCUUUCACCCAGCUGUACGCAAUGCAAGCUUCUUCCAGGCUAGAGUUUCGAAGCAGCAUUUGGAUCCUUGAGUCCUCAAUUCUCUCUUGAUAUACUUCCAUUGGCCUUUUUUGUAUGCGCUUAGUGAGCCCUUCAACAAUACUAGUUAAGCCUAGGCUAUUAACUCUCUUGCAAUCUUCUGUAGUAAUCGCCUUCGCCAUUUCUUCAAUUCUAAUCAUUGCAGAUUGACCCAGCAUACCUUGUGUUUUCCGAUGGAUUACCUUUUGUAACCUACUUGUCAUGAUAGACUUGUGAGAGGCUUCUCCUUCAAUGCUGUGAAGUGUCACCGUGUUAGGUCCUGGAUCAAAAGGCACUUGCCUAUAUUCCUUCAUCCAAUCGAUUCCAAGCACUAUGCCAGAGCUUUUGAGCCUCAAUUCUCUUGAAUCAGCCAAGAAUUCGUAACCUGGCUUCUUCCUUGCAAACUGAGGGCAAGAAUCUUUGCCCAGCACCUUGUUCGCAGGGUCUGCUAUCACUAUCAAGGGUGCAACAGCAUUAAACUCAACUCUGGUAGCUUUUGCAAUCCUGAAGUCAAUGAGGCUAUGUAGGUUUCUAUCAUCAUUCAAAUGUAAUGGGGCUUGGUUAUCUGACUCCAUGAUACUUAUAGCCUCAUAGACCUUUCCUUCUUCUACUUGUUGUAGCUCACAUCUUUUUUCUUUUACUGUUUUAGAUUCAGCACCCAUUUCCCCUUUUUCAUAUGCUGGUAACAUACGCAGGGAGCUAUCCUUGCAUUGCUUUCCCGUAAUAUACUCCUCUCCGUAUCCAUAGCAUCUCCCAUGCAUCGUUGUUCGCUUACUUGUAGCAGGCCAUUGUGGGUUUGGUUCUUCUUCACUUUCUUGCAGCUUAUGAGUUCCUAGCGGAGGUUCUUCACCAUUGUUUGCUCGGAUAGGAGAUGGAAUGAUGUUAUCUCUAAGUUGGCUUCUAUCUGAACUUGAAUGCUCUAUGUUGCGUGUUUCGACACUUGGAAUUGGCUUGGUAGGAGGUGGUUGAGUUGCAUGCAACCUCAGCAAUCCCUCAGCAAUUUAACCAAUUGUAUCUCAACUCUGGAAUUAAAAUUGGGGAGCAAAACUUGAUUACCUGAUGCCUGCAAGGUGUUUGAUGAAAUUCCCCUUCACUGGCCCAAUUUUAACUAUGAUACUACCAAGAACCUGUUGCUUCUAUGACCCCUCUAUCAAUUUGAUUCAAGUAGCAAUGAUAAAGAUUCUUGUGAUGUUUAUCAGGUUUGAUCCCUUAUCAACCAAUUCUUGCAUGCAUGCAAUCAAUGAUUCAAAAGGAUGCAAAGAUUUCUACAAUACCUGAUGUUAUAGCUUUAUAAAAUCAAAUCGCCUCUCAACUAGUUGCAAUCUGAUACCACUUUGUUACCGUAGUGGCAAUGUCUCCAGUCGCUACUGAUUCUUCCAAUUAGAUCUGAUGCUACCACUUGAGUUCUUGCUCCAGGUACUACUCGAGAUCCAUUACUACAUUCUUGUGAUAUCCCACCAUGAUGCAAGUAUCAGUUUCAUCCCUUCCCUGGGAUCGAAACUGCUUUGAUACCAAUUGUUAUGUACCGGAUGAUUUGGGGAUGAUUGGGAGGUGAGUUUGUGAAGGAAAAGGAGAGGUAGAGAAUCAGAGAGAGAUAGGGAGUGAGAUUGGGAGGAAGAGAGUAGGGUUUUAGAAGAAUUAGAGGAGGGUUUUGGGGAAGGAGAAGAGAAAGGACUGGAGAAGAAGAGGAUAAUUGGGGAAGAAGACAAGCUAAUUCAUUUCCAUUACUUCUUGCAAUUACAUCCUGUUACCUAUAUAUACCCUAUACAAUUUGUACUGAAAUGUAAUGAAUCAACUCUUCGAGGGCUUUA